UUGGCUUUGUGGUGGCUCUUGGUCUUUUGGGGCAGCAGCACGCCCUGGAUGUUGGGCAGGACACGUCCCUAAGAAUUGGUGACUUUGCCCAGCAGCUUGUUAAGCUCCUCGUCCUUGCGAAUGGCCAGAUGCAAGUGG
This 138-nucleotide microRNA precursor is filed under the name Chlorocebus sabaeus (green monkey). RNAcentral's name for it is "miRNA (ENSCSAG00000024049.1)". Lineage: Eukaryota; Metazoa; Chordata; Mammalia; Primates; Cercopithecidae. The record is from RNAcentral.